Molecule: transfer RNA, 76 nt
Filed under: Ignavibacteriaceae bacterium
Lineage: Bacteria; Pseudomonadati; Ignavibacteriota; Ignavibacteria; Ignavibacteriales; Ignavibacteriaceae
Description: tRNA-Ile
Rfam family: tRNA
About the family: Transfer RNA (tRNA) molecules are approximately 80 nucleotides in length. Their secondary structure includes four short double-helical elements and three loops (D, anti-codon, and T loops). Further hydrogen bonds mediate the characteristic L-shaped molecular structure. tRNAs have two regions of fundamental functional importance: the anti-codon, which is responsible for specific mRNA codon recognition, and the 3' end, to which the tRNAs corresponding amino acid is attached (by aminoacyl-tRNA synthetases). tRNAs cope with the degeneracy of the genetic code in two manners: having more than one tRNA (with a specific anti-codon) for a particular amino acid; and 'wobble' base-pairing, i.e. permitting non-standard base-pairing at the 3rd anti-codon position.
Source: RNAcentral
GCUGGAGAUGCCAAUACAGGUAUAGGCCCCUGUCUUAUAAGCAGGUAAUAGUUGGUUCAAUUCCAACCUCCAGUAC